RNAcentral lists this ribosomal RNA (518 nucleotides) under uncultured bacterium. RNAcentral describes it as "bacterial SSU rRNA". It matches the Rfam family "Bacterial small subunit ribosomal RNA", at positions 8 to 518 of the family's 1533-position model. The record is from RNAcentral.
AGAGUUUGAUUAUGGCUCAGGAUGAACGCUAGCUACAGGCUUAACACAUGCAAGUCGAGGGGCAGCAUUGGAGUAGCAAUACUCAGAUGGCGACCGGCGCACGGGUGAGUAACACGGUAUCCAACCUGCCGCUUACUCGGGGAUAGCCUUUCGAAAGAAAGAUUAAUACCCGAUGGUAUAAAGAGUUCGCAUGUUCUCUUUAUUAAAGAAUUUCGGUAAGCGAUGGGGAUGCGUUCCAUUAGAUAGUUGGCGGGUAACGGCCCACCAAGUCUGCGAUGGAUAGGGGUUCUGAGAGGAAGGUCCCCCACAUUGGAACUGAGACACGGUCCAAACUCCUACGGGAGGCAGCAGUGAGGAAUAUUGGUCAAUGGACGAGAGUCUGAACCAGCCAAGUAGCGUGAAAGGAUGACUGCCCUAUGGGUUGUAAACUUCUUUUAUAAGGGAGCAAUAAGGGCUACGCGUAGUCCGAUGAGAGUACCAUACGAAUAAGCACCGGCUAACUCCGUGCCAGCCGCUGC